UAGGGAAUCUUCCACAAUGGACGCAAGUCUGAUGGAGCAACGCCGCGUGAGUGAAGAAGGUUUUCGGACCGUAAAGCUCUGUUGUUGGUGAAGAAGGAUAGAGGUAGUAACUGGCCUUUAUUUGACGGUAAUCAACCAGAAAGUCACGGCUAACUACGUGCCAGCAGCCGCGGUAAUACGUAGGCGGCAAGCGUUGUCCGGAUUUAUUGGGCGUAAAGCGAGCGCAGGCGGAAGAAUAAGUCUGAUGUGAAAGCCCUCGGCUUAACCGAGGAAUUGCAUCGGAAACUGUUUUCUUGAGUGCAGAAGAGGAGAGUAGAACUCCAUGUGUAGCGGUGGAAUGCGUAGAUAUAUGGAAGAAUACCAGUGGCGAAGGCGGCUCUCUGGUCUGCAACUGACGCUGAGGCUCGAAAGCAUGGGUAGCGGACAGGAUUAGAUACCCUGGUAGUCCAUGCCGUAAACGAUGAGUGCUAAGUGUUGGGAGGCUUCCGCCUCUCAGUGCUGCAGCUAACGCAUUAAGCACUCCGCCUGGGGAGUACGACCGCAAGGUUGAAAC
RNAcentral lists this ribosomal RNA (553 nucleotides) under uncultured bacterium. Its description in RNAcentral is "partial 16S ribosomal RNA". It matches the Rfam family "Bacterial small subunit ribosomal RNA", at positions 355 to 900 of the family's 1533-position model. The record is from RNAcentral.